UUGUUGAUUUUGAAACCAGUUGAUAAUUUGCAAGUGAUAUGGAUGCUGAAAUUUUUAUUUCACUUCUUCAACAACUACCAGUGUUGUGGAACUAAUUCUGUGAUGCAAGUUUCUUCUCAAAGAGAAGCAAUGGUCACAGGUGCACGAUGUCAUCAUUUAGCAUAUUGCCACGGACUGUGUUAUUAACGGCAACAUCCCUUAUCUGAAAUAAUUAUUGAACGAGUUCGGGGAUGUCAAACAAAUCUUCAAUCGGUUCAUGGAGGGGCGGAUUUCGAGCGGCUUUAUCGAGCUGAAUGAGAAGUUUGACCUGACCAGCGACGCGAUCGACGACGAGACCAAGGCACUCCAGCCAAAACUGUCAGAUAUGUGCUCUGUGGUCUAAAUGUUCCAAUGCCCGACGCCAAAGCAUCGGUUCUGUCAGAACGAAAUUCCAGCUUAUCUGAUUCGGUCAUUCUUUGCCCCGGAUCCGCGUAUUGAUAGCUGUGAUGCGAAUUGGGCUCGAGAAGCUGCCCCUGCCCCAGGAUUACGUGCUCGAGGAAUUGCGGCAUAUGUUGAGCUCGUUCUUCGACGAGGAUCAGCGGAAGCAGCAAUGGAAUAGUGUUUGAACGAAUUAUGUUAUUUUAUUCGUAAUUUGUUUACUGUAUUAAUGAAAUAAGAAAAAAACUCUAGAAUGAAUGGAUGUGUAUACAUUCUCUUGUAGGUAAAUUCCAAAAUAAUCACAGGAAGUGAACACAUUAUACAUAUAAAUAAAUAGUGUCUCUGGCUUGUAACGGAAUGUUAUUAUUAUUGGUUCAUCAAAUUGCACUUUUAUCUAACCGUGUUUCUGAGACUGUUGAAAAAUUAUGUGGCAACAGAGCGUGUGAAAUAAAUCAUACUAUUCGUGUAUGCUUGGAAACGAAAUAAUUAUGCGUAUGAAUGAAUAAACCGCAGCUGGACUAAAGUUAGUUUUUUAAACGUAUUCUGAAGUGGGGCGGAAGUAUUCACGAUAGGUACGGUAAGAACGCCGUUAUGAUGCAGGAUGUGUGUAAUGUCCGUGAGGCCUGGUCUCACUUUGAUCAUGCUCAUGGUGUGCUACACUCCAACAUUCGGCCUUAUGUGAUUUCCAAGGAACAUACAUAU
Molecule: long non-coding RNA, 1119 nt
Organism: Toxorhynchites rutilus septentrionalis
Lineage: Eukaryota; Metazoa; Arthropoda; Insecta; Diptera; Culicidae
Exons: 3
Source: RefSeq, a predicted model, not a curated record